Molecule: ribosomal RNA, 490 nt
Filed under: uncultured bacterium
Lineage: Bacteria
Description: partial 16S ribosomal RNA
Rfam family: Bacterial small subunit ribosomal RNA
Source: RNAcentral
AUUGAACGCUGGCGGCAGGCCUAACACAUGCAAGUCGAACGGUAACAGGAAGCAGCUUGCUGCUUCGCUGACGAGUGGCGGACGGGUGAGUAAUGUCUGGGCAACUGCCUGAUGGAGGGGGAUAACUACUGGAAACGGUAGCUAAUACCGCAUAACGUCGCAAGACCAAAGAGGGGGACCUUAGGGCCUCUUGCCAUCGGAUGUGCCCAGAUGGGAUUAGCUAGUAGGUGGGGUAACGGCUCACCUAGGCGACGAUCCCUAGCUGGUCUGAGAGGAUGACCAGCCACACUGGAACUGAGACACGGUCCAGACUCCUACGGGAGGCAGCAGUGGGGAAUAUUGCACAAUGGGCGCAAGCCUGAUGCAGCCAUGCCGCGUGUAUGAAGAAGGCCUUCGGGUUGUAAAGUACUUUCAGCGGGGAGGAAGGGAGUAAAGUUAAUACCUUUGCUCAUUGACGUUACCCGCAGAAGAAGCACCGGCUAACUCCGUG